This 3539-nucleotide ribosomal RNA is filed under the name candidate division WOR-1 bacterium RIFCSPHIGHO2_02_FULL_53_26. Its description in RNAcentral is "bacterial LSU rRNA". It matches the Rfam family "Bacterial large subunit ribosomal RNA". The record is from RNAcentral. Lineage: Bacteria; Bacillati.
UGAUCAAGUUACUGCGGCGCGUAGUGGAUACCUUGGCAAUACAAGUCGAUGAAGGACGCGAUUGGCUGCGAUAUGCCCCGGGGAGCUGUCAAAAUAGCUUUGAUCCGGGGAUUUCCGAAUGGGGCAACCCGGUCCGGUUAAUACCGGACCAUCCCGCAAGGGGAGACAACCCGCUGAACUGAAACAUCUAAGUAAGCGGAGGAAGAGAAAGUAACAACGAUUCCCGGAGUAGUGGCGAGCGAAACGGGAACAGCCCAAACCUUUCCGGUUUCCGGAGAGGGGUAGUGGGACCGCGAUAUGGGACCAGAAGGUUUAGUUGAAGCGAUCUGGAAAGAUCCGCCAAAGAAGGUGAUAGCCCUGUAAGCGAAAGGCCCGAUGGCUCUAGCGGUAUCCCAAGUACUGCGGGACACGAGAAAUCCCGUAGGAAUCAGGGAGGACCAUCUCCUAAGGCUAAAUACUCUGUAUUGACCGAUAGUGAACAAGUACCGUGAGGGAAAGGUGAAAAGAACCCAGGAAUGGGAGUGAAAUAGAACUUAAAACUGCGUGCCUACAAGCAGUCGGAGCCCAGCGCAAGCUGGGUGACGGCAUGCCUAUUGAAGAAUGAGCCGGCGACUUACAGUUAGUGGCAAGCUUAGGGUGUAGAGCCUGAGGCGCAGCGAAAGCGAGUCUGAAUAGGGCGUUUAGUCACUAGUUGUAGACCCGAAACCGAUAGCGAUCUAUCCUUGGGCAGGAUGAACUCAGAGUAAAAUCUGAGGGAGGUCCGAACCUAUUGAUGUUGAAAAAUCUCAGGAUGACCUGAGGAUAGCAGUGAAAAGCUAAACGAGCUCGGAGAUAGCUGGUUCUCCUCGAAAUGGUUUUAGGGCCAGCCUCAAGAUUAUCUGCGCAGGGGUAGAGUACAGUUUGGACUAGGGUCCCGAAAGGGAUUCCAAAUCCUCGCUAACUCCGAAUACUGCGCAGUCAUUGCUUGGGAGUGAGACUACGAGGGAUAAGCCUCGUGGUCAAAAGGGAAACAACCCAGACCGUCAGCUAAGGUUCCUAAAUGUCUGCUAAGUGGUAAAGGAAGUAGAGUCGCACAAACAGCCAGGAGGUUGGCUUAGAAGCAGCCACCCUUUAAAGAGUGCGUAACAGCUCACUGGUCGAGCGAUUUUGCGCCGAAAAUACACGGAGCUAAGCAGACUACCGAAGCUACGGAUGGUCUUCCGAUUUAUCGGGAGAUCGUGGUAGAGGAGCGUUCCAUUGUAGGUCGAAGUCGGGUCGCGAGACCCGGUGGACGAAUUGGAAGCGAAAAUGUCGGCAUAAGUAACGAAAAGACGGGUGGAAAUCCCGUCCGGCGAAAGUCUAAGGUUUCCUGGGCAAGGCUCGUCCUCCCAGGGUAAGUCGAUAUCUAAGCCGAGGCCGGGUUUAACCGGCGUAGGCGAUGGCAAAACGGUUAAUAUUCCGUUACCGCCUGUUUUGUUAACCAGAGGGACGCAGAAGGAUAACCCAUAGCGCUUAUUGGAUUGCGAAUCCCGAAGUAAAUUCGGGAGUAUUGGGUGACUCCACGCUGACGAGAAAAGCUCUGGGUAUUGGGGCAGGCGAUCGUACUACAAACCGACACAGGUGGACAGGCUGAAUAAGCCAAGCCGCGCGAGAUAACUCUCUCUAAGGAACUAGGCAAAAUGGUACCGUAACUUCGGGAGAAGGUACGAUCCGGUGAAUAGCCGGAUUCUCAGAAACCAGGCUUCCGCGACUGUUUAUCAAAAACACAGGUCUCUGCAAACCCGUAAGGGGAAGUAUAGGGGCUGAUGCCUGCCCAGUGCUGGAAGGUUAAGGGGUGGUUUGAGAUCAUAUCAAGGACCUAACCGAAGCCCCAGUGAACGGCGGCCGUAACUAUAACGGUCCUAAGGUAGCGAAAUUCCUUGUCGGGUAAGUUCCGACCCGCACGAAAGGCAUAACGAAGGAAGCGCUGUCUCGGAGAGAGACUCGGUGAAAUUGGGAUAACUGUGAAGACACGGUUUACCUGCAUCAGGACAGAAAGACCCCGUGGAGCUUUACUAUACCCUAAUUUUGGAUUUUGAUGUCGCUUGCGUAGCAUAGGUGGGAGUCUUUGAGGCUCUGGUUUCGGCUGGAGCGGAGACAACAGUGAAAUACCACCCUGGUUAUAUUAGGAUUCUAACCCUGGCUGUGAAGGCCGGGAGACAGAGUUAGGCGGGUAGUUUGACUGGGGCGGUCGCCUCCUAAAGAGUAACGGAGGCGUUCAAAGGUACUCUCAGCACGGUUGGAAAUCGUGCGUCGAGUGUAAAGGCAUAAGAGUGCUUGACUGCAAGACGUACAUGUCGAGCAGAGACGAAAGUCGGACUUAGUGAUCCGGUGGUUCUGAAUGGAAGGGCCAUCGCUCAACGGAUAAAAGUUACCCCGGGGAUAACAGGCUGAUCUCCUCCAAGAGUUCACAUCGACGAGGAGGUUUGGCACCUCGAUGUCGGCUCAUCGCAUCCUGGAGCUGGAGCAGGUUCCAAGGGUUGGGCUGUUCGCCCAUUAAAGCGGUACGUGAGCUGGGUUCAGAACGUCGUGAGACAGUAAAAAAUGACCUUGCUGUCUAUAAAUUCGACUAUAUGCUGGGAAGUCUGGUAUAAUCAAAAUUCAUGCCAGAUUAUCAGCAGGAAAGGCUAGCAACAGGUUAUUAUAUCGCUGGCUUUGUUGAUGGCGAAGGAAGUUUUCAUGUUGCUUUUGAAAAAAGAUCAAGCGUUAAGCUUGGCUGGCAAAUAAUUCCGGAAUUUCAUGUCAGUCAGCAUCAAAGUAAUUUAAAGCUGCUUCGCAAUAUUCAACGGUUCCUUGGUUGCGGGACAAUUCGUCCCAAUCAUCAAGGUAGCAAGCGGGAUAAGACCUAUGUCUUGGUUGUCAGAAAUCGAAAAGAACUGGCAAACAUGAUAAUUCCUUUCUUUAUCAGGUUUAAGCUUCGUUCAACAAAGAAGAUGGAUUUUGAUAAAUUUAGAGCGGUUUUGAGCUUAUUGAACAAAAAUCGUCAUAAAACAAGAUCGGGUUUUGAUCGGAUUGUUGAGCUGGCUUAUUCAAUGAAUAAAGGGGGAAAAUAUCGUAAAAGAAACAAAGAAAAGUUGCUGGAAUCCUCAGAGACUAUACGUCGAACGGCCGCGCCAAGCGGCUAAAGAUAUAGUCCGAACUGCAUGGUGACAUGCAGAGCCGGUUAGAAAUAAUUGGCCUCUUGAUCAAAAUGAUCAGGAAGUAACAUAAUUGUCGGUCCAUAUCCGGUGCAGGCGCAAGGGAAAUUGAGAGGAGUCCUUCCUAGUACGAGAGGACCGGAAGGAACAGACCUCUAGUGUACCAGUUGUGGGGCCAACCCGCAAACGCUGGGUAGCUAUGUCUGGCAGGGAUAAAUGCUGAAAGCAUCUAAGCAUCAAGCCCACCUCAAGAUUAGUUUCCCCAUCUUCGUAGCAAUGCGAAGGGUAAGACCCCUUGCAGAACACAAGGUUGAUAGGCUGGAGGUGUAAAGGUGGCAACAUCUGAGCUGACCAGUACUAAUCGGUCGAGGACUUGAUCUUUCU